GUUGCUUGAAGCAUGGACAACUCUGGCCUGACAUGGUCCCUGGCUCGUACCUGUGACAGGACACUGAGGAUGCUGUGGUACCUGGAGUGAUGCCAGACUGCAGAGGCCACCUGGUGACAUGAGGAGAGAUUCAACUUAACAUGGUGAGGAUGGCAGAGUAGAGCUAAAGUGGAAAAAGCAUUUCCCUGAUGAAUUUAAGAAGCUACUGAAUAAAUAUGUCUGGAAGUACCUAACUCUGGACUAAGUGGCUUUAUUUGGUUAAAUUGAGAUUCUACUUCUUGUAGCCAGAAGCAAACUUAUUGUUUAAUUCUCAAUAUUAAGAAGUCCUAAUGAUU
Molecule: long non-coding RNA, 335 nt
Filed under: Homo sapiens (human)
Lineage: Eukaryota; Metazoa; Chordata; Mammalia; Primates; Hominidae
Description: HSALNT0297226
Source: RNAcentral